UACGUAGGGUGCAAGCGUUGUUCGGAAUUACUGGGCGUAAAGGGCUCGUAGGCGGCCAACUAAGUCAGACGUGAAAUCCCCAGGCUCAACCUGGGAACUGCGUCUGAUACUGGAUGGCUUGAAUUCGGGAGAGGGAUGCAGAAUUCCAGGUGUAGCGGUGAAAUGCGUAGAUAUCUGGAGGAAUACCGGUGGCGAAGGCGGCAUCCUGGACCGACAUUGACGCUGAGGAGCGAAAGCUAGGGGAGCAAACGGG
Molecule: ribosomal RNA, 253 nt
Filed under: uncultured bacterium
Lineage: Bacteria
Description: partial 16S ribosomal RNA
Rfam family: Bacterial small subunit ribosomal RNA
Source: RNAcentral